This 253-nucleotide ribosomal RNA is filed under the name uncultured bacterium. RNAcentral describes it as "partial 16S ribosomal RNA". It matches the Rfam family "Bacterial small subunit ribosomal RNA", at positions 524 to 776 of the family's 1533-position model. The record is from RNAcentral.
UACGUAGGGUCCGAGCGUUGUCCGGAAUUAUUGGGCGUAAAGCGUGCGCAGGCGGCUUCUCAAGUCAGGGGUGAAAGCCCAGAGCUCAACUCUGGAAUUGCCUUUGAGACUGAGUGGCUUGAGUACGGGAGAGGUGAGUGGAAUUCCCAGUGUAGAGGUGAAAUUCGUAGAUAUUGGGAAGAACACCGGUGGCGAAGGCGGCUCACUGGCCCGUAACUGACGCUCAUGCACGACAGCGUGGGGAUCAAACAGG